Molecule: ribosomal RNA, 393 nt
Filed under: Triticum aestivum (bread wheat)
Lineage: Eukaryota; Viridiplantae; Streptophyta; Magnoliopsida; Poales; Poaceae
Description: partial small subunit ribosomal RNA
Source: RNAcentral
AUGCUCAGUCCAACCCCGUGGCUUCAGGGUGGCCGAGUUCGUCGCAACCAUCAGUUUGGAGACCUGUGUCACUGCCCGUGUUGCUACCAUGGCCACCUGCAUCACUGCGUGCUCCGUCAACAGCCUCCUGCACAAGGAAAAGCAACAGAAGUAGAGGCUUCUGAGAUGCUCUGUUCUAGCGAGGUGGCUGAUUAUGUUUGUCAGUUUGUAAUACUUUGGCCGCAGUUUACUUAUGUAUCUUUUUCUGGAUGGAGCACGACCAGAGCUUAUGUCGGUACGAACUUUGAUUGUGAUGGUCCUAUAAACUCUAUAAUUACUUACCUUUUAUACAAUUCACUUGGAUUGUUUCCCUAUUACCAACUGUGGUACAAAAAUGCACUGUGUUUAUUUUAG